RNAcentral lists this ribosomal RNA (535 nucleotides) under uncultured Caulobacter sp. Its description in RNAcentral is "bacterial SSU rRNA". It matches the Rfam family "Bacterial small subunit ribosomal RNA", at positions 36 to 615 of the family's 1533-position model. The record is from RNAcentral. Lineage: Bacteria; Pseudomonadati; Pseudomonadota; Alphaproteobacteria; Caulobacterales; Caulobacteraceae.
UUGGCGGCAGGCUACCACAUGCUGAUCGAACGGAUCCUCUCGGGGUUAGUGGCGGACGGGUGAGUAACACGUGGGAACGUGCCCUUUGGUUCGGAACAACUCAGUGCAAACUUGAGCUAACUACCGGAUGUGCCCUUCGCGGGGAAAGAUUUAUCGCCAUCGGAGCGGCCCGCGUCUGAUUAGCUAGUUGGUGGGGUAAAGGCCCACCAAGGCGACGAUCAGUAGCUGGUCUGAGAGGAUGAUCAGCCACACUGGGACUGAGACACGGCCCAGACUCCUACGGGAGGCAGCAGUGGGGAAUAUUGGACAAUGGGGGCAACCCUGAUCCAGCAAUGCCGCGUGUGUGAUGAAGGCCCUAGGGUUGUAAAGCACUUUCAAUGGUGAAGAUGAUGACGGUAGCCAUAGAAGAAGCCCCGGCUAACUUCGUGCCAGCAGCCGCGGUAAUACGAAGGGGGCGAGCGUAGUUCGGAAUUACUGGGCGUAAAGGGCGCGCAGGCGGACAAAAAGUAAGGUGUGAAAGCCCAGGGCACAACCC